CUGCCCCACUCUGGGAUGGGCUUCCAGAACUCCUGCCUGCCCUGUCCUGCUGGCAAGUUCUGCCAAGGAGAAGGUCUGGCUGCUGUUUCUGGACCUUGUCAUGCUGGGUAUUUCUGUGAUCCUGGCUCCACACAGCCAGACCACAGGCAUUGCCCUGCUGGCUUCUACUGCCCUGAAGGCUCUGAAUUCCCAAUUCCCUGCAGCCCUGGAAGCUUCAGCCCUGCCAGUGGGAAAGGGCAGGCAGCAGACUGUCAGCUCUGCCCAGCUGGGCACUCCUGCAGCGGUCCUGGAGCACAAACUCCUGAGCUGUGCCCUGCUGGCCACUUCUGCCUGCCAGGGACCACCUUCAGCACGGAGCAUCCCUGUCCCAAGGGCACCUUUGGGCCCAGGGCCGG
Catharus ustulatus (Swainson's thrush) is the source of this 395-nucleotide long non-coding RNA. RefSeq lists it as uncharacterized. The record is from RefSeq and is a predicted model, not a curated record. The transcript has 3 exons. NCBI's taxonomy places the organism in Eukaryota, Metazoa, Chordata, Aves, Passeriformes, Turdidae.